This 313-nucleotide long non-coding RNA is filed under the name Elaeis guineensis (African oil palm). RNAcentral describes it as "long non-coding RNA (EGUI_LNC008974)". The record is from RNAcentral. Lineage: Eukaryota; Viridiplantae; Streptophyta; Magnoliopsida; Arecales; Arecaceae.
GAGUGGAUCUCUACUUAAAUUUGCUCUGAUCUGCAUGAGACAAUGGAGAUGAUAUGUCAACAUUCCACUAUAUAUAUAACAAAAAUCAUGUAAUCCAGAGAGCUUUAACCUGUACAUCAAGUGAUACAAAAAUUAGACAGACUAAAUAUAAUUAAAUUAAGCAAGAAUAUUUUUGUUUCUAACUUUAAUUUAGAGUCAAAAGUUCCAAAUAAAUCAUCCCUUUUACUUAAAAUGCAACCAUCUAUGGCUAGACGUGGCAAUGGAUAGGGUCAAAUCAAGUUGUGACAAUCGUUAACCCAUACACGGUACCACC